UUCCUAGUUAAGCCUGCGGUGUAGAAGUC
Molecule: non-coding RNA, 29 nt
Filed under: Mus musculus (house mouse)
Lineage: Eukaryota; Metazoa; Chordata; Mammalia; Rodentia; Muridae
Source: RNAcentral